RNAcentral lists this ribosomal RNA (468 nucleotides) under uncultured bacterium. RNAcentral's name for it is "partial 16S ribosomal RNA". It matches the Rfam family "Bacterial small subunit ribosomal RNA", at positions 28 to 507 of the family's 1533-position model. The record is from RNAcentral.
GACGAACGCUGGCGGCGUGCUUAACACAUGCAAGUCGAACGGAAAGGCCCUGCUUUCGUGGGGUGCUCGAGUGGCGAACGGGUGAGUAACACGUGAGUAACCUGCCCUUGACUUUGGGAUAACUUCAGGAAACUGGGGCUAAUACCGGAUAGGAGCUCCUGCUGCAUGGUGGGGGUUGGAAAGUUUCGGCGGUUGGGGAUGGACUCGCGGCUUAUCAGCUUGUUGGUGGGGUAGUGGCUUACCAAGGCUUUGACGGGUAGCCGGCCUGAGAGGGUGACCGGCCACAUUGGGACUGAGAUACGGCCCAGACUCCUACGGGAGGCAGCAGUGGGGAAUAUUGCACAAUGGGCGGAAGCCUGAUGCAGCAACGCCGCGUGCGGGAUGACGGCCUUCGGGUUGUAAACCGCUUUCGCCUGUGGCGAAGCGUGAGUGACGGUAAUGGGUAAAGAAGCACCGGCUAACUACGUG